This 382-nucleotide unclassified non-coding RNA is filed under the name uncultured Rhodospirillales bacterium. RNAcentral describes it as "contains 16S-23S intergenic spacer region". Lineage: Bacteria; Pseudomonadati; Pseudomonadota; Alphaproteobacteria; Rhodospirillales. The record is from RNAcentral.
UCCGGCUUGUCACCGGCGGUUUCUUCAGAGUGCCCGGCCUGACCCGGGGGCAACUGAAGAUGAGGGUUGCGCUCGUUGCGGGACUUAACCCAACAUCUCACGACACGAGCUGACGACAGCCAUGCAGCACCUGUGUUCCACCCGGCCGAACCGAAGGAUCUGAUCUCUCAAAUCCAUAAUGGACAUGUCAAAAGCUGGUAAGGUUCUUCGCGUUGCGUCGAAUUAAACCACAUACUCCACCGCUUGUGCGGGCCCCCGUCAAUUCAUUUGAGUUUCAACCUUGCGGCCGUACUCCCCAGGCGGCAUGCUUAAUGCGUUAGCUGCGACACAAGAGAGCUAAGCCCUCCAACGUCUAGCAUGCAUCGUUUACGGCGUGGACUAC